This is a long non-coding RNA of Daphnia pulex (common water flea), 1299 nucleotides long. RefSeq lists it as uncharacterized. The record is from RefSeq and is a predicted model, not a curated record. NCBI's taxonomy places the organism in Eukaryota, Metazoa, Arthropoda, Branchiopoda, Diplostraca, Daphniidae. The transcript has 3 exons.
UGAACAACGGAGAAUGCUCGGCGUCGCUGCUGUUGACUUUUACUCCGAACGAGACGGCACCAAUAGUUGACGUGGAUGUAAGACCACAAUUUCAGGAAUGUGAUUGUGUAAACAGUGCAAAGCAAUCGUCCAACUAGAAAUUACUGGAAUCAUUAUGAUCAACGACAAAUUACAGAUAUGAAGCAGCAACGCCUGAUUCCAUCUUAUUCGUUCCUGAACGUUGAAAAUGAUUCAGUUGAUGAUUACAACAACAAAUACAACAUUUUCCUUAAAUUUUUAAUUUACCUUAGCCAAAAGCUUCUCAACCCAGAGAGUAAACAGUAUGUGAACAUUGAUGUCUGAUGUAAAACACAAAAAGAUAAACAGAUGGAUUCUCAAUACUGAACUCAGCCGUGCCGCCGUUAAGUACUAUUAUCCAUUGAAUGGGAUCAAUACGGAUUCCAUAUCUAGAUACAAAUGAAUAAAUGAUAAUAUAUAACACCUGUUCUCAUGACAACAAAAGUGUUCCAAGUAAAACAAUGAGAAAGUUGUUUUCUUUAUACUUGAGCAAAUUUUCCAGAGAAAGUCUGAGUCCUCCCAUAAACAGCAGUAAGAAACCCCAGUUGACAAGUCCUGUGAAGUCACGAAACUCUGAAGACCAUGAAAACAAUGAAUCCCUAGGCUUGUGACAUCUUUAUAAAAAAAAACGUUAUAAUGAUAUUUAGCUAUGAGAAAAUGCAUGAUUAUUAAUUACGGUUUAUCUGGUUGUGAUUUCCUGACUUUUUCAGCUUCUUUGGUGAUUUCUUCUGCUCUGGCUACAGAUUUCGUUCUUCUCAGCCUCAGAUUUUGCCUCCUGUCAUCAACCAGGUAGGUGACAGAUUUUUUUCCAUCUAUUUCAUCUUUUGACAAACUGUUGACUGUUUGUGUUGGAAUAGGUUCUGAGGGUUCUAUCCUGGCUUCACCAGCACCCUCACUUGGAGGCAGCAUUUUGAAUUGCCUUGCAAAAAAAAUCAUUACAUAAUGAAUUAUACAGUUUACAGAAACAAAGUCUUAAAUUAUUUAAGGAAUUGGGACCUACUUUUAUUUUUUUAUAAGAAAAAAAGUGAUGUAACAGUACUUUGUUUAAAUUCCGUUUUGCAACAGGGUGCCAACUGAAUGGGUGGAUGUUGAGCUGUUGGUUAAUUGCGACGAUUUCCACUGCUAUUUCUGAGACGAUGUGAUGUCUAUGACUAAUCGCUUGUUGAGAUCAAUAUGUUGGUGUUGACUCGUGUCCUCGUCGAUCCAUGGAGCUCGAAAGAUAAGGCCGGUAGGAUAUGUAAA